CCAGUCUGUGAGGUCCCUCAACAUUUGUGAGUAAGGACCACCUGCUUCCGCACCUGGCAACUCUGGCUGCUGUUGGAGAUCUGGGCCAGUCCCAUCUCCACCUGCCUGUUGUGGUUCCUCACAGGACCAGUCUAUGAGGACCCCUACUUCGGGUUCCUGUGGCCGCCUCAGGGGGAGACGGCUAGCCUCCUCGGAUGCAGCCUCUACUCGGCUGCUGUAACACUCCUUCCGCUGAG
Pelobates cultripes (western spadefoot toad) is the source of this 236-nucleotide non-coding RNA. Lineage: Eukaryota; Metazoa; Chordata; Amphibia; Anura; Pelobatidae. The record is from the annotation of a GenBank genome assembly.